Long non-coding RNA from Nerophis lumbriciformis (worm pipefish), 1481 nucleotides. RefSeq lists it as uncharacterized. The record is from RefSeq and is a predicted model, not a curated record. NCBI's taxonomy places the organism in Eukaryota, Metazoa, Chordata, Actinopteri, Syngnathiformes, Syngnathidae.
GUUCUAGUCUGCUGAUGCUUUGUGUUGUUGUGGGUCUCUGGCACAGUAAUACACAGCCGUGUCUCCAGGCUGCAUAUUCUGUCCAUUUAGAGUCACUGUGUUGCUGGAGGGGUCCACAUUAAUACUGAACUGGUUCUUCAGUGAGUCUUUGUAGUAAGAGAUGUCAUCAGCCGCCAUCCCAAUCCACUCCAGUCCUUUCCCAGCAGGAUGCCUGACCCACGCUGUGUAGUAGCUAUCCACAGAAUAAGACACCCGACAGUCGAUGCUCAGCCUCUGACCAGACUGCAGAGUGACAGACGGUGGCUGGGUCAGCUCUUCACACUCGACACCUGCGGAGGAAAAGUUAUUAGAUAUGGGAUGUAACGGAUCUAUGGUCAUGUGUGCCUCAGUGACACUCACAGGAACCUGCAGCCAGCAACAGCAGCACAACUACACGGAACAUGGCAGAUGCUGUCACGGCCAGGGCUUAUUCCAAUGCGCCCUCAUCUGUGUGCUCUGCUAGUUGCGCCUCCAAGAGCGCACCUCGGGACACGCCCACGACCGCACACUUCCAGGAGCGCACCAGGCGCGUGUCCGCACUGCUGCAGCCGGCAGCUGCAAUCAUUCACCGGCAAUCAGCGCACCUGAAGCUGAUCAUCAGAGGACUGCCUUCAAAAGCCUGCUCAACCUGCUAUCCGGGGCCAGAACGUAAAUCAGCUGUUCGAGAACCUAUACUCCAUCGCCUUGGAAGUGAGCUGUGCGCCUCACUUCCCUGGACCCCCUCUGGAUUCUGACUGCCUCCCUCGAUCCUGGACCCCCGCUCUGGAAACGGAUCUGUUGACCCCUCAGACUACAUGCCUGUUUUACGGAACUCCGAGAUCUGCCUUGUCCCUCCUCUCGUUCAACAUUACGACCAAAGCUGCAGAGAUAAUCCACCAGAGACUUCAUCCCUCCUCUUUGACAUACACACAUCAGCAAGUGAUCACAUUUGACACUCAACAUACGCACACUCAAUAAAGACAGCAUACAUACAUACAGGUAAAAGCCAGUAAAUUAGAAUAUUUUGAAAAACUUGAUUUAUUUCAGUAAUUGCAUUCAAAAGGUGUAACUAGUACAUUAUAUUUAUUCAUUGCACAGACUGAUGCAUUGAAAUGUUUAUUUCAUUUAAUUUUGAUGAUUUGAAGUGGCAACAAAUGAAAAUCCAAAAUUCCGUGUGUCACAAAAUUAGAAUAUUACUUAAGGCUAAUACAAAAAAGGGAUUUUUAGAAAUGUUGGCCAACUGAAAAGUAUGAAAAUGAAAAAUAUGAGCAUGUACAAUACUCAAUACUUCACAGUAAAAUCCCCAGUGUUAAAUAUGCAGUGUCAACAUGAAUUACAUCUAUCAGAGUUAUUACAACAACAGCUGGAGUAAAACGCCCCCCAGUGUUGGUGUUGAUUUCCAUCGUUAAACGAGACAGUGUUAGAGGUACUCUGAUUAGCCCCGCCCUCCAGCCACUCCUCGU